Myotis davidii is the source of this 76-nucleotide non-coding RNA. The record is from Rfam. Lineage: Eukaryota; Metazoa; Chordata; Mammalia; Chiroptera; Vespertilionidae.
GAGACACCCUUAUGGGGCAGGACUUGCUUCAGUGGGGCUUUGGUGCUCACUGAGUCUUCCCCCUGAGUAUGUCUCU